UUGCAGACAGCAGAGAGGAGGCCAGUGCUUAUGCCCAAAUUCAGACAGGCAAGUAAAGAAGCAGCAAGAUAGGUGACUGGAGCGCAAGUGGAGGAGAACCCUGCUUGAAAUUGACAGGACACAGCAUGGAACCCAUUUGAAGGUUUAUGCGGAAAUGCGGUGUGACAUCUUCUGUGAACAAAUGCGUGGUACUGAUGGCAUCCAUAUUCCACUCCAAGGAACCUCCCAUCUGCUAAGAGAAGGACAUUUCUGUGAAUCUGGGAGCUCUGGUUUUAGAGGAGAGAGUGAUCUCACAGAGAAGCAUAAAACCUGUGGGAGGAACAAUGACAUAACUAUUGCUGAAGGUUCCAAAAGUCUCAAGGAAGGGAUGCUGGCAGCUAGGUCCAGGAUACCAUGCAUCCAAAGCUUAAUGAACCUAAACUUGGAAUGCUGAAUUCAGCCAGCCUUCCUCCCGGUUAAGUGUCUACAAUUACAGCCUUACUCUCUGCACUGCAUUACUCUGGUGGCAAUAGUUCCCCUAACUGCACCAUAAGCUAACUUAGCAUCCCCUUUGCUAAGUAUGGUCUACCUUAGUUUGUGUUUGGAUGGGGGACUACAUGUGAGGAGCACUGUAAGAUAUUCCCCUUGGGGGAUGGGGGUCAUAGCUCAGUGGAACAGCAUCUGUAUGCUUGCAUGCUGAAGGUCACAGUUACCUUUCUGGCAUCUCCAGGUAGGGAUGGGAGAGACUCCUGCCUGAAUCCUGGGAGAGUCAUUGCUAGUCAGUGUAAACACUACUGAGCUAGAUGUAUCAUUGCUCUUAUUCAGUACAGGCAUUCUCUGACCAACAUCUGACUGACAAACACCCUUAUUUGCAAACAAAACUUCGGGGCAUAUUACAAUGAGAAAGUCUCCAACAUACAAACACCAACCUGCACAUACAAACAAGUUGUCACUCUUGGGGACUAUAUGUGUUCCAAGUUAUGAACACCCAAAUUACAAACAAACCUUUGGAACCCAACCCAUUUGUAAAUGGGCUGCCUGUAUAAGGCAGC
Long non-coding RNA from Hemicordylus capensis (graceful crag lizard), 1031 nucleotides. RefSeq lists it as uncharacterized. The record is from RefSeq and is a predicted model, not a curated record. Lineage: Eukaryota; Metazoa; Chordata; Lepidosauria; Squamata; Cordylidae. The transcript is spliced from 3 exons.